UUCCGGUUGAUCCCGCCGGAGGCCAUUGCUAUUGGAGUCCGAUUUAGCCAUGCUAGUUGUACGAGUUCAGACUCGUAGCAGAUAGCUCAGUAACACGUGGCCAAACUACCCUGUCGAGCGGACCAACCUCGGGAAACUGAGGCUAAUCCCGCAUACGACUCUCAGGCUGGAACUGCAGAGAGUUCGAAACGCUCCGGCGCGACAGGAUGUGGCUGCGGCCGAUUAGGUAGACGGUGGGGCAACGGCCCACCGUGCCAGUAAUCGGUACGGGUUGUGAGAGCAAGAGCCCGGAGACGGUAUCUGAGACAAGAUACCGGGCCCUACGGGGCGCAGCAGGCGCGAAACCUUUACACUGCACGCCAGUGCGAUAAGGGGACUCCAAGUGCGAGGGCAUAGCGCCCUCGCUUUUCUGAACCGUAAGGUGGUUCAGGAACAAGUGCUGGGCAAGACCGGUGCCAGCCGCCGCGGUAAUACCGGCAGCGCGAGUGAUGGCCGCUGUUAUUGGGCCUAAAGCGUCCGUAGCUGGCCAGGCAAGUCUAUCGGGAAAUCUCCCCGCUCAACGGGGAGGCGUCCGGUGGAAACUGCCUGGCUUGGGACCGGAAGAUCCAGAGGGUACGUCCGGGGUAGGAGUGAAAUCCUGUAAUCCUGGACGGACCACCGGUGGCGAAAGCGCUCUGGAAAGACGGAUCCGACGGUGAGGGACGAAAGCUCGGGUCACGAACCGGAUUAGAUACCCGGGUAGUCCGAGCUGUAAACGAUGUCUGCUAGGUGCACCACAGGCUACGAGCCUGUGGUGUGCCGUAGGGAAGCCGUGAAGCAGACCGCCUGGGAAGUACGUCCGCAAGGAUGAAACUUAAAGGAAUUGGCGGGGGAGCACUACAACCGGAGGAGCCUGCGGUUUAAUUGGAGUCAACGCCGGG
This 920-nucleotide ribosomal RNA is filed under the name uncultured archaeon. RNAcentral's name for it is "bacterial SSU rRNA". It matches the Rfam family "Archaeal small subunit ribosomal RNA", at positions 1 to 922 of the family's 1478-position model. The record is from RNAcentral.